Molecule: transfer RNA, 105 nt
Organism: Puccinia sorghi
Lineage: Eukaryota; Fungi; Basidiomycota; Pucciniomycetes; Pucciniales; Pucciniaceae
Rfam family: tRNA
About the family: Transfer RNA (tRNA) molecules are approximately 80 nucleotides in length. Their secondary structure includes four short double-helical elements and three loops (D, anti-codon, and T loops).
Source: Rfam
GGAGACAUGGCCGAGUGGUCUAAGGCGCCGUCUUAAGGUUCAGUUUGUGGUUUCACAGUGUGAUCCGGCGGUCUUCGGGCGUGGGUUCGAAUCCCACUGUCUUCA